CGAACGGGUGAGUAAUAUAUCGGAACGUGCCCAGUAGUGGGGGAUAGCCCGGCGAAAGCCGGAUUAAUACCGCAUACGACCUACGGGUGAAAGGGGGGGAUCGCAAGACCUCUCGCUAUUGGAGCGGCCGAUGUCAGAUUAGCUAGUUGGUAGGGUAAAAGCCUACCAAGGCAACGAUCUGUAGCUGGUCUGAGAGGACGACCAGCCACACUGGGACUGAGACACGGCCCAG
RNAcentral lists this ribosomal RNA (232 nucleotides) under uncultured bacterium. RNAcentral's name for it is "partial 16S ribosomal RNA". It matches the Rfam family "Bacterial small subunit ribosomal RNA", at positions 99 to 334 of the family's 1533-position model. The record is from RNAcentral.